Molecule: ribosomal RNA, 23 nt
Filed under: Ipomoea batatas x Ipomoea hederacea
Lineage: Eukaryota; Viridiplantae; Streptophyta; Magnoliopsida; Solanales; Convolvulaceae
Description: partial 18S ribosomal RNA
Source: RNAcentral
UCGUAAGGUACUGCGGAGACAUU